RNAcentral lists this ribosomal RNA (249 nucleotides) under uncultured organism. Its description in RNAcentral is "partial 16S ribosomal RNA". It matches the Rfam family "Bacterial small subunit ribosomal RNA", at positions 355 to 621 of the family's 1533-position model. The record is from RNAcentral.
UUGGGAAUCUUCGGCAAUGGGGGAAACCCUGACCGAGCAACGCCGCGUGAGGGAUGAAGGCCUUCGGGGUGUAAACCUCUGUCUAGAGGGACGAUAAUGACGGUACCAUUGGAGGAAGCCACGGCUAACUACGUGCCAGCCGCCGCGGUGAUACGUAGGAUGCGAGCGUUGUCCGGAACUAUUGGGCGUAAAGGGCGCGCAGGAGGUCUUGUAAGUAAGAUGUGCAAACGCAGGGCUUAACUAGUAGAG